Molecule: unclassified non-coding RNA, 328 nt
Filed under: soil metagenome
Description: partial contains 5.8S ribosomal RNA, internal transcribed spacer 2, and large subunit ribosomal RNA
Rfam family: 5.8S ribosomal RNA (bases 1-120)
Source: RNAcentral
GAUGAAGAACGCAGCGAAAUGCGAUAAGUAGUGUGAAUUGCAGAAUUCAGUGAAUCAUCGAAUCUUUGAACGCACAUUGCGCCCCUUGGUAUCCCGAGGGGCAUGCCUGUUCGAGCGUCAUUUCACCACUCAAGCCUGGCUUGGUGUUGGGCGACGUCCCCUUUGGGGACGCGUCUCGAAACGCUCGGCGGCGUGGCACCGGCUUUAAGCGUAGCAGAAUCUUUCGCUUUGGAAGUCGGGGCCCCGUCUGCCGGAAGACCUACUCGCAAGGUUGACCUCGGAUCAGGCAGGGAUACCCGCUGAACUUAAGCAUAUCAAUAAGCGGAGA